Macaca fascicularis (crab-eating macaque) is the source of this 299-nucleotide unclassified non-coding RNA. It matches the Rfam family "Metazoan signal recognition particle RNA". From Rfam's summary of the family: The signal recognition particle (SRP) is a universally conserved ribonucleoprotein. It is involved in the co-translational targeting of proteins to membranes. The record is from Ensembl. Lineage: Eukaryota; Metazoa; Chordata; Mammalia; Primates; Cercopithecidae.
GCUAGGCUUGGUGGUGUGUGCCUGUAGUCCCAAUGACUCUGGAGGCUGAGGCGGGAGAACUGCCUGCCAGCAGGAGUUUUGGCCUGUAGUGUGCUAUGACUAUAGGAUGUCCACACUAAGCUCGGCAUCAAUAUGGUGACCUCCUGGAAGCGAGGGACCACCAGGUUGCCUAAGGAGGGAUAAACCAGACCGGGUCGGAAACAGAGCAAGUCAAAACUCCCGUGCUGAUCAGUAGUGGGAUUGCGUCUGUGAAAAGACACUGCAUUCCGCCUGAGCAACACAGCGAGACCCCAUCUCUU